AAUUAGUGAAAAGUUUGUUCCAUUUUGUUCUAAAAAAAGGUCCCACCAAAUAGUGAGUACAUUUAAAUGCAAUAAUAAUCCAUUUCAUGUCCUUUAUGAGACUUGCAAAUAAAAUAAAAAACCAUCAUCAAAUUUUCAUUUUUCUCUUGGUAUUUUGGGAGUUUGAAUUAACAAUGAAGUAACAAGGUAUGCAUGGCUUAGUUUGUGAAAAAUAUAUGCGAGAAAGAACACAUAUAUUUGUAUGCUAAGAUGCUGUAACUAAGAUUCAACAAAGGUCUUCAUAGGUUUCCAUUUAGUGCACAGACACUCUCCAUAAAGCAGAUAUGAUACUAAAUCACUGAAAAUGUUACUGGGAUUUCUCAAUCAAGUCAUGUGAAACAUUAUUACAAUAGCAUUUAUUGACUUGUACUAGCUGCAAACUUGUCCAUCAUUCUAAAAAGCUAAGAGUUUUAGAUAAUCAUAAAGAACCCCAGAACAGACUCAGCGUAACAAUGCCAAUGGAAAUACAUAACCUUAUUAGUAACAAGAACACACCGAAAUUCACCCCUAGCGCAUCAUCAUCAAAAUCAAUAUCAUGACUAGAUCUACUGUAUCUUCCAUCAGCUUGUGUAUACGCAUAUAUCAAGCACAAGUCACUGAAAUUCGUCAAAGUUCUAUUCCUGUAUACCUGUGCAUCCGGUUGACCCUGCAAAUCCAUUAUAAUAAAAUAAGAGCAUAUAAAAAUGCAAAAACCUCGACAUAAACAAGAACAUCAUCCCCACCUUGAUAUAUGCAUUCCAUACAUGUGGAGGGGCAACUACCAAUUUCCUUGUAUCAUCCCAACUAAACCCGUUUUGUUCGAGAAGAUUCUUCACAUCAUUAUACUGCUUCCACAAAUUGGUAUAAUGACUUUUCAAAGUGUCCCUAUCGUAUUUACACCCAAAUUUCGCAUUGAAAAUAGAUAACAUAUCAGUCCAAGCUUGUUUAUUAAAUGUAUGGCCUAAUCUAUUACCCCUAUGCAUUUGAUCUAACAUAAGAUCAAUGAAAAACCGUUCCAUUGUCGGCGUCCAAUUUGUUCUUGUUCUAUCACUGCUACUAGGUGCAUUGCUCCCCAUUCUCCCCCCUACUAAUACAAAAAAGCUUCAUUAAUUUCUUAAUUUAGAAUUACAGUACCUUAAAAAGUUGAAAUUUAAGCGACAACUUACAAGCCCAUAAAAUUCAAAGCUAAUAUAAGCUCAAAUGAAAUAAAAAUUGAAAAGAUAAGAAAAAGCUAGUAAAUUUUUUGUUCAAAAAGAUAUCUGCAAAAAGGGCAUUAAUAAUUGUUUAGUUUAAGGUUUCUACUACCUAAGAGCUUCAAGCAGACAUAUUCUAUCUAAAUUAAGUUGAGAUAACAUUAAAUUAGCUCUAACAUCUAAAAUUGAAAACUUUAUAACUUUUUUUUUUUGUCUUUUCCAGCAUUAUCCCACUAGUGAUACGAAAAAAUAAGCGAAACUAUUAGUAAAAAAUAAGCAAAAAAAAAAAUUGAACCUUGGUACCUUUGGGUUUUUUGUCAGAGAUUUCGCGUACGAAAAUUUUAUUUCAAUUUCCGGGAAAUUUGAUCAGGAGUGUGUUUUGCGGGUGCUUUAGAUUCCAACCAAAAAGAUCAUGAAAGAAUGGGUGCUUUUGAUUGAAAGCUUGAAGGAGAAACUACAGCCUGUUUGGUUGCUGAGAAAAUGGGUAGUUAACAGGCAAGAAAGUUCUCAGAAGUGGGCUCAAAAAGCACUUCAAUUGGACCCUUUCAGCCCAAAAACCUGAAGAUUGGACCCAAGGAUCCAACACUUUAUUUAUAAAGAAACUAUUUAAUCAGAUGCGUUGCGACAUAUUUGAAUUCACAUGCCAAUCGAAUUAAGACUCAAUCACAAUAGUUUAAAAACUUAAGAUUUUGAAUAUCCAUAUGUUUUUAUAUUUUAUUAAGUUAUAAAUGUGUUAAAAUAUUUUGACUUAUACAAUUUUUGAUAAUUUAAUAAUUUCUAUUAUAUAAUUUUUAGAUUAUUUGUAAUUUUAGAUCUUAUGUUGUGUGAUUUUUAUAUGAUAAGAAAGUUUAGAAAUACGGAGAGCAAUUCCUUUUCAGAAUUAAUCAUUUUGAUUACAUUUCCAAAAAAAAGUGAAAGGGCCAAAGCACAGAGAGAUGGCCUUUAUUGCAAUACACAUUUACAUACAUAGAUCAAUACAUACACAUAUAUGUGUAUGUAUAGCUCUAAUUAUUCCGUUUAUCACAUUGGGGUAGUGGAAACUUAAACCAAGCAAAAGUGACCCUUGGGAAGCUUGCACUUUUGUUUUUAUGGAAUAGCAGUGAAGUUGAAAUUAUUGCAAGAAGUCUUGUAGAACAACAGGGAAGAACUGAAACCAAGCCUUGAUCUUGCCAUAUCAAACUGUACCAGAUUAUUCUCCAUUUGGUAAGCCCCAAUAAUAAUCGAAGCUCCAUUGUUCUUCAUUCCUCCAUCCACAAAAGCUAAGCAAGACACUCCUGGUGCAGCUUCAACAAGGGAGUUUGCUCCAUAAAUCCUCCACAUAACAUGCUUGUCAUGGAGCACAAGGUCGAUGUUAGGAACCCCUGGUCCAACCCUGCUGUUUUUGAAUCUUUUCGAGUUGAAACAGGCACCGAAUGGCGCAACUGGUUUUACUUGGGGAAUAGCAGAGAGCUCCUUGGAGAAAAUUUGUGUGACAGCUUUAAAGAUUGAGUGGUGUAGAAUGGUGUAAGGGUUGAUUGUGCUGAGCUUCGUGCCUCCGACGCCUUGUUUAUUGAUCGAUAACAGCGCUGUGUCUAUCGGGACAUCCUUGUCGUUUAUCUUGAUUGAUUUAACUUCCAUGUAGUACUCUCCUAGGGGACUGAUGAUAAGUGGAGUGUAGCUUAAUGGUCGUGUUAUAUCAACAUUAGGCAGCAUAUAAUAAGGGCUGUCCCCAAAGAACAUGACACCUUUAGGGGCUAAACAAAGGGCAAACGUUGGGGCAAAACCAGCAGACCCAAAGUGUGAGGCCAGUUGAGUUGGUAGAGAAAUGGGGGAAUGUCCCAAUCCAGCCACCCCUUGAACAGUACUUGGUAACCCUCUUUGCAGUAAAAGGGAAGGUGCACAAGUGAACAAGAACUGAGGGACCCUAACCAUUGGACCAGGGUUAGACCCUUGAGUGGAUUGAAUUGAUAGCACAUCUUGUGCAAGAUCACUCAUGGCGGUAAGGCCUGUCACAGGGUUCAUUGACAUGACCCCACAUGUGUUGUUAUGGCACCCUGGUCCAUCCCUGGUGGAGCAUAUGUGGCAAUAGUGACUGUCAGCUCUAGAGCAUUGAGUCGAGCGGCACCUAGGGGCAUGGUAGGUGGACGAACAGUAACUUUUCUCACAAGUAACCCAUAGUAACCUUCCAUUCAAGUCCACAACAAAUGGGACUUUCUGUGAAGGAGUUCUCUUGUAUAUGUUAGUCACAUAAAGUUUAGUUUUCGGAUCUUUUUGCAGCUGCAAAACGAACCUGUUCGGUUUCGAAGUCUUUUGAGAUUCAGAUAAAAGGAUGAAAGAAGAAACGGAAAGGAAAAUGAGAAGGAAAAGAAGGAAAGAAGAAGCCAUGAAAGCUCAAUGCCUGCACAGUGAUGCAAGAAGAGGGUAAGCGGUGAGGAAAUAAAGGGGGAAAAUGGAGUUACUUAUAGGCAAAUUGAGUUCUUAAAAUCUAGUCAUAUUUUUGGGUGAUCCAAGCAUUGUUCAUGUGAAAGUUUUAGGCAUUAUAUGCAUUUGGCAAGCAGAAGAUGAAAGUUAGGCAGGCUAAAGUUAGGAAAAUUCAGGCUAAAAGAUGGACCCCAAAGCAAAGGAACAAAAUUGAAUUGGAAAGUGUGGAAGGCACUUGGCAAUGGCUUAGAGCUUCUACAGCCGUGCCAUCAACACAUACAAGGACUUCAUGGGUUUGGCUUGGCUUGGACUGAACUGGAAUUUGAUAAAUUUCAUCUUUAAUUUCUCAAGCAUGUUAAUUUCUAACAUAUGGACAAAUAUGACCUUAUGGUAGAUAGAAGUUUGUACGUAAGGGAACCCUACUGGGAUUUCUGGGAUUUCUCAAUCAAGUCAUGUGAAACAUUAUUACAAUAGCAUUUAUUGACUUGUACUAGCUGCAAACUUGUCCAUCAUUCUAAAAAGCUAAGAGUUUUAGAUAAUCAUAAAGAACCCCAGAACGGACUCAGCGUAAC
Molecule: long non-coding RNA, 4183 nt
Filed under: Gossypium barbadense (sea-island cotton)
Lineage: Eukaryota; Viridiplantae; Streptophyta; Magnoliopsida; Malvales; Malvaceae
Description: long non-coding RNA (GBAR_LNC018874)
Source: RNAcentral